Molecule: unclassified non-coding RNA, 1074 nt
Filed under: Hevea brasiliensis (rubber tree)
Lineage: Eukaryota; Viridiplantae; Streptophyta; Magnoliopsida; Malpighiales; Euphorbiaceae
Source: RNAcentral
CAAAUUCUAGUAGAUCAACAAAUUACAAGUCUAGUGUUAUAGUCUUUUGUUAAUAGAAGUACUCGUAGGAGGUGGAAAUAAAAAAGGGGCGCCUUUUUAAAGCCUUAAGUUUGGAAUACGGCAUGCGCCUAGGUACAUAAGGCGAGCGCCUAUUAAAGGUCACUUGCGUUUCAAUUGUAAAGGUGUUAGGGUAGGAGCUUUGUGAGCCUUGAGCCUAAAUCAUGCCUGAGACAUGCCUUUAAUAACACUGUCUCAGAGGUCCACACAAGGAAACAAAUAAAAAUAGCGCCUUGGAUCACUCAUGGCAACUUAUAUGGAGGGACAAACGGCACUACCUUUCUCACCAUUUUGAUCUUCUUCCCAAACAUAGAAAGACAAAGAAAAAAGAAGAUAUUUUCUAAUUUUUAUCAUACUUACAUUUAACCAAUCAAUUGAAAUGGAAACAAGAAAUGCACUCAAAAUGUAAUAAAUGAUAAAAAUUGGUAGAAUGGGAGAAAAGCUAAUAUCAGGAAGAAAAUAACCUCCAUAUGCACAAGGUAACUUUUGCCAAAUCUAGAGUUAGCAUUUUAGCAUUUGAAGAAUAUAGGCUUGCUUAGCUGAACUCAAAAAUUAGUUUGUUGUGCAUAUAUGCAUUUAAUGAACAGAGUUUAUCCCUUUUAUUGGAGGAAAAAAAGGUUAUUUAGAAGAAAAAGGUCGUGGGAGUUUCCAAAACAAAAUCGGCAUUCAUUCACAUAUUGGGAGUUAGGAUCAACUUACCCAGUAUUAAUAAACACUUUAUGCUUGGACCUCAAGUAAGCCUGUGUAGAGUUUUACAGCCAAACAAUCGAAGUGUGCAAACCUAAAACCUUAAAAUAUGAUCAAUAGAAACCAUUUUAAGACUUCUAUAAUGAUAAUUUAAGCUGUGUUAUAGCCUUGAUGUUCUUAUAACUGUUCCUCUUAAAAAAAAUCAUAAUUUAAUAUUAGAGGAACAUUCCACAGAAAGCAUAAGAGUGUGUGAUCCAAGUACAUGCAAAAAAACAACAGCACAAAUUGAAGAAAUAGAAACUAAAGAAAAGGGAGAGAGAGAGAGAGAGA